AUUGAACGCUGGCGGCAGGCCUAACACAUGCAAGUCGAGCGGUAGAGAGGUGCUUGCAUCUCUUGAGAGCGGCGGACGGGUGAGUAAUGCCUAGGAAUCUGCCUAGUGGUGGGGGAUAACGUUCGGAAACGGACGCUAAUACCGCAUACGUCCUACGGGAGAAAGCGGGGGAUCUUCGGACCUCGCGCCAUUAGAUGAGCCUAGGUCGGAUUAGCUAGUUGGUGAGGUAAUGGCUCACCAAGGCGACGAUCCGUAACUGGUCUGAGAGGAUGAUCAGUCACACUGGAACUGAGACACGGUCCAGACUCCUACGGGAGGCAGCAGUGGGGAAUAUUGGACAAUGGGCGAAAGCCGUGAUCCAGCCAUGCCGCGUGUGUGAAGAAGGUCUUCGGAUUGUAAAGACAC
RNAcentral lists this ribosomal RNA (405 nucleotides) under uncultured bacterium. RNAcentral's name for it is "bacterial SSU rRNA". It matches the Rfam family "Bacterial small subunit ribosomal RNA", at positions 30 to 433 of the family's 1533-position model. The record is from RNAcentral.